This is a non-coding RNA of Podarcis lilfordi (Lilford's wall lizard), 254 nucleotides long. The record is from the annotation of a GenBank genome assembly. NCBI's taxonomy places the organism in Eukaryota, Metazoa, Chordata, Lepidosauria, Squamata, Lacertidae.
GGACACGGAAAGGAUUGAGAGAUUGAUAGCUCUUUCUCGAUUCUGUGGGUGGUGGUGCAUGGCCGUUCUUAGUCGGUGGAGCGAUUUGUCUGGUUAAUUCCAAUAACGAACGAGACUCUGGCAUGCUAACUAGUUAUUCGACCCCGAGCUUAUUUUCUGCAUGUCUGAUACAUGCAUACAAGGAACGCUAGAUUCUUAAAAGCAUCUUCACAUGGAACACUACAAGAUUGAUAUAAUAAUUCCACACCGUGGAU